GAGAGACUAGUAAAAUAUGCAUAUUACAAUACCUUGUCAAGGCAUAAUUGCGGGUUAAACCCCCGCGUCUCUCA
RNAcentral lists this transfer RNA (74 nucleotides) under Promethichthys prometheus. RNAcentral describes it as "tRNA-Asp". It matches the Rfam family "tRNA". Rfam says of the family: Transfer RNA (tRNA) molecules are approximately 80 nucleotides in length. Their secondary structure includes four short double-helical elements and three loops (D, anti-codon, and T loops). Lineage: Eukaryota; Metazoa; Chordata; Actinopteri; Scombriformes; Gempylidae. The record is from RNAcentral.